This 423-nucleotide ribosomal RNA is filed under the name Triticum aestivum (bread wheat). RNAcentral describes it as "partial small subunit ribosomal RNA". Lineage: Eukaryota; Viridiplantae; Streptophyta; Magnoliopsida; Poales; Poaceae. The record is from RNAcentral.
AGUUUUUGGUGGGGUGAUGAUGCAACACAAAAAAAGAUGCACCGAUUCGCGUGGUGGAAGAUGUGUAUACCAAAAAAGCAAGGAGGCAUGGGAUUUAGGGAUAUCCACUGUUUCAAUCUUGCACUGUUUGCUAAACAGGCUUGGCGGCUAAUUGACAACCCAGAAUCUUUAUGUGCAGUAAUUCUCAUGGCAAAGUAUUUCCUAGAGGGAGACCUGAUGAAUGCUACUUUGGACAGAAAAGGAUCAUACACAUGGCAGAGUAUUAUGGUAGGAGUGGACACAUUGAGGAGGGGCUAUAUCUGGAGGAUUGGGGACGAUCAAAGCAUUAAAGCUUGGAGUGAUCCGUGGAUACCUCAGUCAUCCUCCAAAAAGGAUCUAACUACCGUGGGAAUAAUCUUCUUUCACGUGUCUCUGAUCUCAUAG